AUUGAACGCUGGCGGCAUGCUUUACACAUGCAAGUCGAACGGCAGCGCGGGCUUCGGCCUGGCGGCGAGUGGCGAACGGGUGAGUAAUGCAUCGGAACGUGCCCAGUAGUGGGGGAUAGCCCGGCGAAAGCCGGAUUAAUACCGCAUACGACCUGAGGGUGAAAGCGGGGGACCGAAAGGCCUCGCGCUAUUGGAGCGGCCGAUGUCGGAUUAGCUAGUUGGUGGGGUAAAGGCUUACCAAGGCGACGAUCCGUAGCUGGUCUGAGAGGACGACCAGCCACACUGGGACUGAGACACGGCCCAGACUCCUACGGGAGGCAGCAGUGGGGAAUUUUGGACAAUGGGGGCAACCCUGAUCCAGCCAUGCCGCGUGCGGGAAGAAGGCCUUCGGGUUGUAAACCGCUUUUGUUCGGGAAGAAAUCCUCUGGGCUAAUACCCCGGGGGGAUGACGGGACCGGAAGAAUAAGCACCGGCUAACUACG
This 482-nucleotide ribosomal RNA is filed under the name uncultured bacterium. RNAcentral describes it as "partial 16S ribosomal RNA". It matches the Rfam family "Bacterial small subunit ribosomal RNA", at positions 29 to 505 of the family's 1533-position model. The record is from RNAcentral.